This 65-nucleotide transfer RNA is filed under the name Escherichia coli. RNAcentral's name for it is "tRNA-Val". It matches the Rfam family "tRNA", at positions 6 to 65 of the family's 71-position model. From Rfam's summary of the family: Transfer RNA (tRNA) molecules are approximately 80 nucleotides in length. Their secondary structure includes four short double-helical elements and three loops (D, anti-codon, and T loops). Lineage: Bacteria; Pseudomonadati; Pseudomonadota; Gammaproteobacteria; Enterobacterales; Enterobacteriaceae. The record is from RNAcentral.
AUUAGCUCAGCUGGGAGAGCACCUCCCUUACAAGGAGGGGGUCGGCGGUUCGAUCCCGUCAUUGA